RNAcentral lists this long non-coding RNA (633 nucleotides) under Elaeis guineensis (African oil palm). Its description in RNAcentral is "long non-coding RNA (EGUI_LNC041457)". Lineage: Eukaryota; Viridiplantae; Streptophyta; Magnoliopsida; Arecales; Arecaceae. The record is from RNAcentral.
GAUCACCACGGUGACUUGCAAGCAACUCACUAUGCUUUGGUGCCAGACUACUUAAAUUUUUAAUUCAACGAUGAAAGAUUUUUGGGCAUAGUCAAGUACUUGUGAAGUCAGUGUGUAAAUCAAGAUGGAAUUGACCCCUUCGAAUAAGUAGGAGUUAAUGUAUCAGUGUAUUUCAAUUCAAUAAAACCUUGGCUGGAGUAAUCCAUGUGAUAGAUUUUGAAAAUUGAAAUACAAUAUGGAUGACCAUAUCAGGGUUGGCAGUUAAACUCUAGGUCACUUUGAGCAUUUGGGUCAAAGGGAUGAAUUAUACGAUAACUAUAUUCAAAUAGGUUCUUGAGUGUUACUUAGCAUAUAUUCGGCCUAUCCGGACAUCGGAUAUCAUUGCUAGAUGGUUACUCUGAUUGGUACAAAAAUCAAUUCCUGUGCUACUGGCUUAGGUUCGAACCUAUGGGGUCACACACAUUAGAAGUUUCUCUCUAAUCACAUGACUAAUCUGAAGAGUCCCAAUCAAUGGGGACUCUAGUGAAGAGUCUCACUUGACGGGGACUCUGCUAAAGAGUCCCACUAAACUUGGACUCUAUCUUUAAUGAAGGAUUAAUUAGUGAUUAAAUCACUAAUUAGAUCAAUUUGAUG